GUCGAGAAUCUUCGGCAAUGGGCGAAAGCCUGACCGAGCGACGCCGCGUGGAGGAUGAAGGCCUUCGGGUUGUAAACUCCUGUCAGGUGUUACGAAACACCCGGAUGGAAAUACUGUCCGGGUUUGACGAAAGCACCAGAGGAAGCUCCGGCUAACUACGUGCCAGCAGCCGCGGUAAGACGUAGGGAGCGAACGUUGUUCGGAAUCACUGGGCAUAAAGGGUGCGUAGGCGGUCUGGGAAGUGGAGUGUGAAAGCCCUCGGCUUAACCGAGGAAUUGCGGUCCAAACUGCCAGACUUGAGGGGAGAAGAGGAGAGCGGAACUCUUGGUGUAGCGGUGAAAUGCAUAGAUAUCAAGAGGAACGCCGGUGGCGAAGGCGGCUCUCUGGGCUCCUCCUGACGCUGAGGCACGAAAGCUAGGGGAGCAAACGGGAUUAGAAACCCUUGUAGUCC
This 451-nucleotide ribosomal RNA is filed under the name uncultured bacterium. RNAcentral describes it as "bacterial SSU rRNA". It matches the Rfam family "Bacterial small subunit ribosomal RNA", at positions 354 to 796 of the family's 1533-position model. The record is from RNAcentral.